CUUUUUUCGAGAUGGGGCCAAGAUGGGCCUAAGAGGGUGGGUGCACCAACUGUAAUUUCUUGUCUAUGCUUAUUAUUCACCAAUAUAUAUAUAUUUUUUCUGUGUGCAUGGUUCUAUAAUCAGGGAAGGAGGAGGGAACAUUUGUCAAGCCAGGUGUUCUCCAUAAACUAUCUCAUUAAAUAUAUUUCACACUUUCAGGAAGGCCCUAUUAUUAUUCCGGGGUUUGGAGGAAGAUCUGAAGUUUUGGAAGUUGCACAGCUUGCAUAGACACACAGUGGUGGAGCUGGGAGUCAAAUCCUGGUUCUGUGAGGACAAUCCUGAAAUUCUGUCUUAGGUUGUUCAGAACAAAAAUGUCACACAAGAAUAUGCAUUGCUGUUUCAAUGUACCCAGCCCUCUGUUAUCACCAUGAGAAGGACAUGCCCAAAUGAGUGUGUUGGAGGAUAAGACAGGUGGAACAGAGCCACAUCACCACAGCAAAUUAUUGAAGCCACUGUGUAUCAUCCAACAGCCAGCUGAUCCCAAAAUAGAUACUUCUCAGGGCUAAAAGGGGAGAAGCUGGAAAAGAAGUACUAGAAAGUCCACUAAAAUCAGCAAAUAGCUAAUUUUGACUCCUCAUGUAUCCUUUCAGCUGGGCCAG
Molecule: long non-coding RNA, 638 nt
Organism: Symphalangus syndactylus (siamang)
Lineage: Eukaryota; Metazoa; Chordata; Mammalia; Primates; Hylobatidae
Source: RefSeq, a predicted model, not a curated record